RNAcentral lists this transfer RNA (69 nucleotides) under Ictidomys tridecemlineatus (thirteen-lined ground squirrel). RNAcentral's name for it is "Spermophilus tridecemlineatus (thirteen-lined ground squirrel) tRNA". It matches the Rfam family "tRNA". Rfam says of the family: Transfer RNA (tRNA) molecules are approximately 80 nucleotides in length. Their secondary structure includes four short double-helical elements and three loops (D, anti-codon, and T loops). Lineage: Eukaryota; Metazoa; Chordata; Mammalia; Rodentia; Sciuridae. The record is from Rfam by way of RNAcentral.
GGAAAUGUGGCUCAGUUGUAGAGCACAUGCUUCGCAUGCGUGGGGCACUGAGUUCGAUCCUCAGUACCA